This 217-nucleotide ribosomal RNA is filed under the name uncultured bacterium. Its description in RNAcentral is "partial 16S ribosomal RNA". It matches the Rfam family "Bacterial small subunit ribosomal RNA", at positions 122 to 334 of the family's 1533-position model. The record is from RNAcentral.
CAACCUAUCUUUUUCGCCCCGGGGAUAACUAGCCGAAAGGUUAGCUAAUACCUGAUACGAUCAUCGAGUGGCAUCACUUGAUGAUGAAAGCAGCAAUGCGCGGAUUGAGGGGGCUGCGGCCCAUUAGCUAGUUGGUGAGGUAACGGCCCACCAAGGCAACGAUGGGUAGCUGGUCUGAGAGGACGACCAGCCACACUGGGACUGAGACACGGCCCAG